AUAUCUCAACCGCACCCUAUGGUGGUGUGGCUUGGAUUUGGGGGUGGUAGGCUUAGUCUGCUCCCCUGAAAUACAUUGGUGGUGCCUGACGUGAUGUGAUAAAUUAUCCGCAUCUGUUUAUGAGCUGCCGUGUCGUGUUGGAGUUGAUAA
This 150-nucleotide unclassified non-coding RNA is filed under the name Inosperma maculatum. Its description in RNAcentral is "partial internal transcribed spacer 2". The record is from RNAcentral. Lineage: Eukaryota; Fungi; Basidiomycota; Agaricomycetes; Agaricales; Inocybaceae.